ACGGGGUGCAGCAGGCGCGAGAACUUCGCAAUGCGCGAAAGCGUGACGAGGUCACUCCGAGUGCCGUCCGCUGAGGAAGGCUUUUACCCAGUCUAGAACGCUGGGGGAAUAAGGAGAGGGCAAGUCUGGCGUCAGCCGCCGCGGUAAUACCAGCUCUCCGAGUGGUGUGGAUGUUUAUUGGGCCUAAAGCAUCCGUAGCUGGCUAGGUAAGUCCCCUGUUAAAUCCACCGAAUUAAUCGUUGGAUUGCGGGGGAUACUACUUGGCUAGGGGACGAGAGAGGCAGACGGUAUUUCCGGGGUAGGGGUGAAAUCCUAUAAUCCCGGGAAGACCACCAGUGGCGAAGGCUGUCUGCUAGAACGCGCCCGACGGUGAGGGAUGAAAGCUGGGGGAGCGAACCGGAUUAGAUACCCGGGUAGUCCCAGCUGUAAACGAUGCAGACUAGGUGUUUGGACGGCCACGUGCCGUUCUAGUGCCGCAGGGAAGCUGUUAAGUCUGCCGCCUGGGGAGUACGAUCGCAAGAUUGAAACUUAAAGGAAUUGGCGGGGGAGCAC
This 552-nucleotide ribosomal RNA is filed under the name uncultured archaeon. RNAcentral's name for it is "bacterial SSU rRNA". It matches the Rfam family "Archaeal small subunit ribosomal RNA", at positions 325 to 879 of the family's 1478-position model. The record is from RNAcentral.